This is a long non-coding RNA of Oenanthe melanoleuca, 3956 nucleotides long. RefSeq lists it as uncharacterized. Lineage: Eukaryota; Metazoa; Chordata; Aves; Passeriformes; Muscicapidae. The record is from RefSeq and is a predicted model, not a curated record. The transcript is spliced from 3 exons.
UGCAGAGUCAUAGCUCUGCUGGCUUGGCUUGCUGCCACCUCACUGCUCCUUUAAAACCCCAUACCUCCCAUUGAAGGAACUCAGUGUCCUGUUCACCAGGAGGACGUCAAUGUUUCUAUGGAAACUCUUCCCAAAGAUUCUUGCUCCUCGCUGCCACUGCUGCGUAUUGUAUGACUGGCUUUGUACACUGCAAUUCAUUAUCCAGGCUGUGACGAAAAGGGAGCAGCUUUCUGCCCAAGGGGAAAAAGCAUUAAAGGAAAAAAAAAAAAAACCCAAAACACUAACCCCCCCUGCUCCAUCAUCUUAAUAUUAAUAAAAUAAGCCACUAAAACUGAAGGUGCUAAAGUGGUUUGGCAUUUGAGCUAUGAAUGGAAUCUGCUCGCCUGUGCUCCUUGCAGUGAAAAAACCCUUUCCUGAAUAAUUAACUCAGCUGAAGAAGCUUAUAAAUUCUUGGUAAGGUCCUUUUUCCUUCUGAGUAGCGAGAAGAAAAUUUUCCACCCCUCACAAUUACAAUCCUGAUGAUGAAUGAGUGUCACGAAAUAUCUGGGAGCAGUGGAGAAUGUGGUGACAGCAUUUACGUACGUGUCCCUUACUAAUGAUGUCCAAAGGUGACCAGAUUACUCACCCCUCUGCAGAUGAGCUCCAGGCAUUACAUACUGACAGGUGCUGCUCUGAAGGAGCCUGGAACCUGAUUUUCUUGACUUCCACUGUAUCACUGAUGGGCUCCUGGCACCUCAGGCAACCAGAUUUCAGGUGUCCCAAAGCAUGUACUUCAAACCCAAGGUACUCAACUCGUGACACUUGCAGAAAGACAACUCCUUAAGCCAACAGAACUUUGAGAUCUGAAGAAAAACAUUGCACUCAUCUACUAUGCUGGGAACCAGCACUGAGUAAAAAUCUGAGUAAAGACGAGAAUGAGAGGAGACAAGUAUUUUAUUUUUAAACCUUAUGAAUUUCUGAGUAGUUCUGCUUUGUCGCUUUCCUAGAGAGGAAGGCAGGGUUGGGAAGAUCAGAAUUUCAAACCCUGAUACCACACUAAAGACUUGUAUUACCUUUAAUUGAUGUUUCUGAGUGCAUCCUCACUGAUUUACUCCAUUUGCUUUUUGUGCAGGGAACAUUCUAUUCUCAGAGCAUAAUCUAGACCCAUAUGAACAAUAUAGAUGUUUUCUGAUAAUUUAGAAAGAGGAGAUGUAAUUACUGCCUGUGCUGAAUGCACAGCAUCUCUCUGCUUGCCAGAGCACUGCAAACCCAUGACCCCUUUUGGAAUCCAUACAGGGAGAAAAGUCCCAAAUCCUUCAAAUGUGGUUCUCAUUUUGCCAUUUCCACCUUAUUAAAUAUGCUGGUCCUUGUGCCUUUGAUUUUAACUUCCUAAGGAUAGCUCAUUCUGAAAUUAUUUAGAAGGCUCUCAGAGGCUCUUAGAUGAAAUUCAGGGAUCAUUCCUGCGGAAAUGUGUCUGUUUGUGGGACACAGAACAGCAGCAACUUGGGCAUCUGCUGCAGAAAAAUGGGGAGGGGAACCCAGCAAGUUCUCCCUUGGGUAACUUGUUUUUUUAAGAAGUGCAACAAAGCAGGUUCUUGUUGAUAAGGACUUCCCUUAAAUACUUGAAGAGGAGGCUGGAACUCAUCUGACCUGCUCCAAAACCAGUUGGCUUGGCUGUGCAUAGUCCAAUUGCUGUGAUUUAAAAUGAGUACUUGGAGUGCUUUUGUCUCCUAAAUCACCCCACAAGCACUGUGCUUCAUGUCUUCUCUCUAGUGGAAGGAUAUCCAGGGUGAGACAUUGCAAUUCAGAUUUUCAUCUCUAGGGUCAGAUCUGUCUCAGUUCAGUAAAGCACUGCUAUGCAGUGAGGUUUGAUGUGAAAUAAGCACAGGUCCCUCCAUGGUGCAGUCAAUCAAGAUCAACAGCACAGAAAAAUCACCACAGUAAUUGCUCUCUGUAUCUGCUGCCUCAGGAAAAUAUAAAAUAAAAAAAUAAUAAAUAAAAAUCAAUGACUGAUUUGGCCCUGGAGACUGAGUUACUCUCCUCUGAGUUAGAGUGGUCCCUCCUGAAUGUUUUUCCACAUUGCAAAGGCACCACAUAAUGGAACAAUUCAGUGCCACUGCCAGGGCUGGCUAAAACAGCCCUAGAGUGAGAGAGGGAAGGUGCUGUGGGUCACUGCUGAGGUGCACUGAGAACCACACCAAGAGUUUUUCAGACUGCUUCAGAGACACCAGACUUGGCUUGCAAGCCUGCUGCAAUGGUUCAGAGAGAAGCUGCUUUGUAUUUUGAAUCAUGCAAUCCAAAUCUGGUGUCUGCCUCUCCCUGUGUCCUGCAGCAUCUUCCCUGCUGACAUCCAUGGUUAAUGGACAGGUACAGGUUGGCCCUGGAACCAUUUAUCACAGCAGAGGGCCCAACUCUCCAGUCUUUUUCUUUCCUGGGAUCUGACAGAACCUGAAUUUAAUUUGCCCUGUGAUCCCAGCUUAAGUCCCCCUACACAAAAAAAUCAUUUACUGCUUUAAACUCUUUAAGCAUGGCCCUCAGUAGGCCUUAAGAACAAGGAAUACCCAUUAAAAUUGUUUAUCAUUAUCUGAACUGGGCAUGAGGGGAGCAGGAGUUGGGUUCAGCAGUUAUUGGGAUUAAAGAGAACCAGGAGACCACUUUUAAGGAAAAUAGCAGCAACAAACACGUUGUGAGUGAGCAGAAAACACAAUCAAAGAGGGACCAGCUUACAAAAAUGAGGCUAAAUAUCAUUGGUAUUUAGCAUUAAUCUUUUUGUCUUUGCCUUUGUCUUGCUAUUCAUCCUCCCAAAUCUCAUUUCUGGUGGGACUGGACAUCCCAGAGGGUUUGGUUUAAAACCAGUUCAGGUUAAUUCUGCUGAAUGGACAUGGGUGAGACUAGAACAUAUAGCUCAUAACAUAAUGUCACUCUAUUCAUGGUAGAAACCAAACUGAAGUUCAGUUUGUUCCAAAAAGCACCAUUUCUAAGGCAGAAGAGCAGACAAAUCAAUGACUGAGAGGAACUAGAGGUGAAAAUUUAAAAAGAGAUAUAAAUACACUUACUUUAAAACAUUUUAAUUUCAAGUCACAGGAAAACCAUUCAAUGUGUAUCCUGGGGUUUCUUUAAACAGGGAAAGAAGAUUAAAAUACUAAUCUCUGCUGAUUUCCCUGUGCAGCAGCAAAAAUGAGUGUGGCUCAAAAGACUGACCUAUGAGCAAAGAUUAAGAGCAGCUAAAUUUGUAUAGCUUGGCUAAGCAGCAACCAGAAGGGACACACUGGCAGAGAGCAAAACCAGAAAAAAAUGGAGUAUUAUUUGGAAAGACAACAGAGUCAGGGGAUGAAAACUAAAGAAAGAUCAGGCAGGAUGGUAAAGUCUCUAAGACUGGUCUGUAUUUUAAGGAAUGCUCCAAGCACACAAGUACAAGGAUGGACUAGACACUGGUGUGAGGGACCAGUGACUUUAAGCAUUUCUAUUUCCAAAGAAAAUCACCUCUAGAAAAGGGACAGCUUAGCUCAUGCUAUAAAUCAUUUCUUCUCAAGUUCAGCACCCAGCAGCCACAAAUCAGUUCUUAAAAUCUUGAGUGAAAAAUAAACCACAAGAAACAAUCCUGUGCUCCAAGGGAAUGGACAAGCUAAUCUAAUACAUCUUUGUCAUCUGUGGUUUCCAUGACAGUUGCAUAAUCAGACAUUUAUGUAAGUAGAGGUUUCCUCCUUAAAUAGCAGUCUAUGAUCUCAUCUGCACCUACAGUAUAACCCAUUUGAAAUAAAAUUAUGUGCCAGUUAUGUGUACAACUAAUUUUUUAAUGCUUCUCUCUUAUUUUUAUUUAUUUAUGGUGGCAAAUCAGUAGUGCUCACACAUGACUAACUCUUCUUGUUGUGGUCUUCUUGUGGGCCAGAAAUAAUCACAGUCCCCAGGUCCAGUUAAUGGCUGGGCUCACACUUGCUCAGCAAUUCAGAGUGAAAGUGAUGGUGUAUCCAUAAACC